UACAGAGGGUGCGAGCGUUAAUCGGAGUAACUGGGCGUAAAGGGCGCGUAGGCGGAUAGAUAAGUGAGAGGUGAAAUCCCUGGGCUUAACCUAGGAAUGGCCUAUUAGACUGUUUGUCUAGAGUGCAGUAGAGGGCAGUGGAAUUUCCGGUGUAGCGGUGAAAUGCGUAGAGAUCGGAAGGAACAUCAGUGGCGAAGGCGACUGCCUGGACUGAGACUGACGCUGAGGCGCGAAAGCGUGGGGAGCAAACAGG
This 253-nucleotide ribosomal RNA is filed under the name uncultured bacterium. RNAcentral describes it as "partial 16S ribosomal RNA". It matches the Rfam family "Bacterial small subunit ribosomal RNA", at positions 524 to 776 of the family's 1533-position model. The record is from RNAcentral.